AAGCCCCCCUCCCCCCCUACCCCUACAUUUACUCUACACAACAUCAGUCAAUCUUCCUACCAAAGUCAACUAUUCAAAACCCUACCACCGAAAUGCAGCACCCAUCACCGGACUCCGACCUGCCUCCCCUCGCCGCCAUCAAGGUCCGCUCCUCCUCCCCUCGCUUCCCUCCGCCAACCACCCCACUUUCUACUGAAACUCCCACCGCCAACGCCCAGCGCAAGAUCGGCAUCGCGGUCGAUCUAAGUGACGAAUCGGCUUUCGCCGUCAAGUGGUCCGUCCGUCACUACCUCCGCCCCGGAGACGCUGUUAUUUUGCUCCACGUUCGCCCCACUUCCGUCCUCUAUGGUGCUGACUGGGGCUCCGUCGACCUCUCCAUCGUCGACGCCGAGAAUGAGGAGUCUCAGCAAAAGCUGGAAGAUGAUUUCGACACCUUCACCACUACGAAGGCGUCCGAUCUGGCGCAGCCGCUUGUGGAUGCGCAAAUCCCCUUCAAAAUCCACAUCGUGAAGGAUCAUGAUAUGAAGGAGCGGCUUUGUUUGGAGGUUGAGAGGCUUGGAUUGAGUGCUGUGAUCAUGGGGAGCAGGGGAUUUGGCGCCACAAAGAGAGGGAGCGACGGGAGGCUUGGCAGUGUUAGCGAUUACUGCGUGAGGCAUUGUGUCUGUCCUGUUGUUGUCGUGAGAUAUCCUGAUGAGAAGGACAGCGCUGGAGGUACUGGAGAGCCUGUGGUGUCAGUGGCAUCUGCUGCAGAGGAUGAGGACGAGCCUGAGUAUCAUGAUGCAUCUGACGAUAGAAAAGUUUGUAGGAGUGCAGAACUUGUAUCUGGGGUGAAGGAAGCGAACUCCCAAUUUUCACUAUAGGAGCAAGAAUUGAGUUUUAUAUGGUGGCUGAUGGCCUGAGGACGCUGCAUGUCUCAGCCAGACAAUGGGACAUGGGGAAAGGAAGAAUGAAAGUUUUGGAGAAGGAAGUAACAAUUACUAUAUCAUAUUUAACCAAUUACUGUAUCAAUUUUAUGGUUUAACACCUGCUGAUCAGAUCUGUUUGGUGUUGAUACUCUGAUGAUGACUGGAAGAGACAUUGUGGGUGCUCCUUAUCCUUUUGAGACAGGGUUUCGCAUCUUUUUGUUGGGCCAGCUACCUCUCCCUUAUGUACAUAACUAAAAUAUUCAUUAAGCAGGUCUAUUUGGAGAUAGUGGAUUAAGUUGUUAUUUGUUUGAUGAGAUCAAUAGAACCUUUGAACUGAAGUGGGAAAGAAAUAACAUAAUUGAGGCUCCCAAAGGAAAAGUGAUGGUUGGUUCUUAGUCUUGUUUAAAUAAGAUGACAGGUUUAUUAAAAAACAAUAGAACAUCUGGCUUUGUUUAGAUUAUGGGUUUAGGUACACAUGAAUUCAUUAUUCAUUUCCCAGCCAUGUUCCAUAUGUCAUCCAUGAAAUCAUCAAUCACUUCUAACACCUACCUGAAAAAUAAACAUGGCUUCAUUUGAUAAACACAUGCUGAAAUCUCCCUGUGAUUUGAAUUGGCAAGACUUUUGAUGCUGAGCUGAAAAAGAGAGAAGAUUCCUAAUUAAGACUCGGCUCCAUGGAUCCAUGAUUCCAUUUCAUGCUGCAGCAUGUAGAAGGCAUGGUCUACAAGCAAUACUUCAUUUGCGAGAAUUACUCAGAUACUUGCUAUGUGGAAUAUAAUGUCAUGUAUAUCGGACUGAUGGUACUUUUAUUCCAUAUUAUGUGCUUUUGUAAUGUAACAUUGUUACUUGUAUCUUAGAUGAGUUUUUAGGUGCUGAGUUGAGCAUUACUUGUCAUAUUCCCUCUGCAGCAUCUAUAUGCCUGAGAAUAGUUCUAGAGUAUCCUUGCUCUAGUUAACUAAUGAGUUAGGCAUGCUUGACUUGAAUAAGUACUUUUGUUCAUAUAACAUGGCAGUGGGGCGUGUUCCUUUCUCAAUGAGUUGCGAUGCCAACGGUUAGUGUUUUGUUAUGU
Sesamum indicum (sesame) is the source of this 1971-nucleotide RNA transcript. It is a transcript of the gene named universal stress protein PHOS34, with no coding region annotated. NCBI's taxonomy places the organism in Eukaryota, Viridiplantae, Streptophyta, Magnoliopsida, Lamiales, Pedaliaceae. The record is from RefSeq and is a predicted model, not a curated record.